CCCAGACUCCUACGGGAGGCAGCAGUGGGGAAUAUUGCACAAUGGGGGAAACCCUGAUGCAGCGACGCCGCGUGAGUGAAGAAGUAUUUCGGUAUGUAAAGCUCUAUCAGCAGGGAAGAAAGUGACGGUACCUGAUUAAGAAGCCCCGGCUAACUACGUGCCAGCAGCCGCGGUAAUACGUAGGGGGCAAGCGUUAUCCGGAUUUACUGGGUGUAAAGGGAGCGUAGACGGUGAUGCAAGUCAGAAGUGAAAGCCCGGGGCUCAACUCCGGGACUGCUUUUGAAACUGUGUGACUGGAGUGCAGGAGAGGUAAGCGGAAUUCCUGGUGUAGCGGUGAAAUGCGUAGAUAUCAGGAGGAACACCAGUGGCGAAGGCGGCUUACUGGACUGUAACUGACGUUGAGGCUCGAAAGCGUGGGGAGCAAACAGGAUUAGAUACCCCCGUACA
This 447-nucleotide ribosomal RNA is filed under the name uncultured bacterium. RNAcentral describes it as "bacterial SSU rRNA". It matches the Rfam family "Bacterial small subunit ribosomal RNA", at positions 330 to 794 of the family's 1533-position model. The record is from RNAcentral.